Long non-coding RNA from Lates calcarifer (barramundi perch), 954 nucleotides. RefSeq lists it as uncharacterized. The record is from RefSeq and is a predicted model, not a curated record. Lineage: Eukaryota; Metazoa; Chordata; Actinopteri; Centropomidae. The transcript has 3 exons.
UUCUUAUUUAAGGAGCUUUGGUGACUGACUGAAUAUGUGAGAACUGCAGUUGCUGAAUUGUGGCUUUAUUUUUGGACUGGUUGUAUUUGGUUUAGGGAGUAUAAUUUAGUAGGGAUGGUAGGAACAUGUUAUAACCAAUAUCCAGACACAGGUGAAUUGUCUUUAGUAAUCAUUUUAAUCAACACACACGGUUUACAGGUCUUUUUUAACGUUUAACCGCCAAAUCUCCUUCUACACGCUUCAUUUCCGCACAGUUUCAAACUGAGUGCUCCCCCUAGUGUUCAAGGCCAAAAAUCGCAUGUGUUAACGGUUGGACGGAAACAAUGGAAACGUCGAUUUAAAAGCUAAAUUCGUCUGUUUUGUCACCGUUCAAUCGUAUGGACUAUUAGGAGGUUGGUCUACCACGUAUAUGCAGCCAGUUUUGAUCAAUAUUUACCUUUAAAAAAGUAGGAAUCUCGUGUGUGUGUGUGUAUUCCGUUUAAAUUACACUGCUAGCAUGCUACCAAUGUUGGCUAAAUAUGGCGUCGAAGAGUUAGCUAGCUCGUUUGUUAUGGUAAAAAAAAAAAUCCUGUGGCACACACAUUGCGAAAUUCGCCGCAAAAUUUAUAUUUUUCAAUCUACUGGCAAAUUAAGGACACAAAAUAAAGGAAGGAUGAGUUUUGUAAACAUAACGUUGAUCAUGGGGGUUCCCGUGGUAAAGAAUGGACUUCCGGUGUGCGUUUAGCCGUUAGGCUAACUUGUUGAAACUCAGUCAAGAUGGCAGCCAAAGGAGAGGGGUAGAGAUACUUUACGACAAAUUAAAGUGUGACAGAAGUAACCUGACCGUGUAGCAGCGCUGACAGAGGUGGAGCGGCUGGUAACAGUCACAGCCUUCAGUACACGGACGUCUGAACUGAUCAGCUGUGAGUCCAGGUGUGCAGAGGUGCUCGUACCUGAGUGGCUUUGCUGUCUGAA